UACGUAGGAGACGAGCGUUGUCCGGAGUUACUGGGCGUAAAGGGUGCGCAGGCGGCCCUGCGCGUCGCGAGUGAAAUCUCCCGGCUCAACUGGGAGGGUGGUCGCGAGACGGCAGGGCUUGAGGCUCGGUGAGGGGCGUGGAAUUCCGGGUGGAGCGGUGAAAUGCGUAGAUAUCGGAAGGAACGCCGGUGGCGAAAGCGACGUGCUGGACCUCUUCUGACGCUGAGGCGCGAAAGCUAGGGGAGCAAACAGG
RNAcentral lists this ribosomal RNA (253 nucleotides) under uncultured bacterium. Its description in RNAcentral is "partial 16S ribosomal RNA". It matches the Rfam family "Bacterial small subunit ribosomal RNA", at positions 524 to 776 of the family's 1533-position model. The record is from RNAcentral.